AACGAACGCUGGCGGCAUGCCUAACACAUGCAAGUCGAACGAGACCUUCGGGUCUGGUGGCGCACGGGUGCGUAACGCGUGGGAAUCUACCCUUGGGUUCGGAAUAACAGUUAGAAAUGACUGCUAAUACCGGAUGAUGACGUAAGUCCAAAGAUUUAUCGCCCAAGGAUGAGCCCGCGUAAGAUUAGCUUGCUGGUGGGGUAAUGGCCCACCAAGCCGACGAUCCUUAGCUGGUCUGAGAGGAUGAUCAGCCACACUGGGACUGAGACACGGCCCAGACUCCUACGGGAGGCAGCAGUGGGGAAUAUUGGACAAUGGGCGAAAGCCUGAUCCAGCAAUGCCGCGUGAGUGAUGAAGGCCUUAGGGUUGUAAAGCUCUUUUACCAGGGAUGAUAAUGACAGUACCUGGAGAAUAAGCUCCGGCUAACUCCGUGCCAGCCGCCGCGGUAA
Molecule: ribosomal RNA, 449 nt
Filed under: uncultured bacterium
Lineage: Bacteria
Description: partial 16S ribosomal RNA
Rfam family: Bacterial small subunit ribosomal RNA
Source: RNAcentral